This 400-nucleotide ribosomal RNA is filed under the name uncultured bacterium. RNAcentral describes it as "bacterial SSU rRNA". It matches the Rfam family "Bacterial small subunit ribosomal RNA", at positions 355 to 769 of the family's 1533-position model. The record is from RNAcentral.
UCGAGAAUCUUCCGCAAUGGACGAAAGUCUGACGGAGCGACGCCGCGUGAUUGAUGAAGUCCCUAGGGACGUAAAGAUCUUUUAUGUAGGAGAAAUUUUUGAUAGUACUACAUGAAUAAGGGGUUGCUAAACUCGUGCCAGCAGCAGCGGUAAUACGAGUGCCCCAAGCGUUAUCCGGAAUUACUGGGCGUAAAGCGUGUUCAGGUGGUCUCAUUAGUCUCUAGUCAAAUUCUUCGGCUUAACCGGGGGUCCGCUAGAGAUACGGUGAGACUACGAGUGUACGAGGGGCAAGUGGAACUCAUGGUGUAGGGGUGAAAUCCGUUGAUAUCAUGGGGAACACCGAAAGCGAAGGCAGCUUGCUGGCGUAUUACUGACACUUAUACACGAAAGCGUGGGUAGC